This 254-nucleotide ribosomal RNA is filed under the name uncultured bacterium. RNAcentral's name for it is "partial 16S ribosomal RNA". It matches the Rfam family "Bacterial small subunit ribosomal RNA", at positions 524 to 776 of the family's 1533-position model. The record is from RNAcentral.
UACGAAGGGGGGCUAGCGUUGCUCGGAAUCACUGGGCGUAAAGGGCGCGUAGGCGGACUUUUAAGUCAGGGGUGAAAUCCUGAGGCUCAACCUCAGAACUGCCUUUGAUACUGAGGGUCUCGAGACCGGUAGAGGUAAGUGGAACUGCGAGUGUAGAGGUGAAAUUCGUAGAUAUUCGCAAGAACACCAGUGGCGAAGGCGGCUUACUGGACCGGUUCUGACGCUGAGGCGCGAAAGCGUGGGGAGCAAACAGG